Erigeron canadensis is the source of this 87-nucleotide small nucleolar RNA. RefSeq annotates it as small nucleolar RNA Z199. NCBI's taxonomy places the organism in Eukaryota, Viridiplantae, Streptophyta, Magnoliopsida, Asterales, Asteraceae. The transcript has a single exon. The record is from RefSeq and is a predicted model, not a curated record.
UGUCAAAUGAUGAGAAACAUAACUGCAACAAAAUGAUCGAAUUCAUACAUUCGUUCGUGAUUACUAGUAUUUAAGUCUCUGAUGAUA